Molecule: ribosomal RNA, 474 nt
Filed under: uncultured bacterium
Lineage: Bacteria
Description: bacterial SSU rRNA
Rfam family: Bacterial small subunit ribosomal RNA
Source: RNAcentral
AACGAACGCUGGCGGCAGGCUUAACACAUGCAAGUCGAACGGGUGUCGCAAGACAUCAGUGGCAGACGGGUGAGUAACACGUGGGAACCUUCCUAGGGGUACGGAACAACUCAGGGAAACUUGAGCUAAUACCGUAUACGUCCGUAAGGAGAAAGAUUCAUCGCCCCUGGACGGGCCCGCGUCGGAUUAGGUAGUUGGUGGGGUAACGGCCUACCAAGCCUACGAUCCGUAGCUGAUCUGAGAGGANGAUCAGCCACACUGGGACUGAGACACGGCCCAGACUCCUACGGGAGGCAGCAGUGGGGAAUCUUGGACAAUGGGCGAAAGCCUGAUCCAGCGACGCCGCGUGGGUGAAGAAGGCCUGCGGGUUGUAAAGCCCUUUCAGUGGGGAAGAAAGCCUCGACCUAACACGUCGGGGUCUGACGUAACCCAUAGAAGAGCACCGGCUAACUCUGUGCCAGCCGCCGCAGUAAC